ACGUGAAAACUUAGCUCUUAUCCGUUUGUUCGCAUAAAAUAAGAAAAUAUUCACUGUAUUGUGUGCUCGUAACGAAUGAAUAAUAAUAAAUUAAUUCGCAUUAACAACAAUGCCGUGUUGCAUUUCUUUAUAAUGACGCUGAUAAAACUCGUCUCGUGCCAAACGUAUCAUUAAAUAAUUUAGUAUUUACUGCUGGAAAUUCUUCUUUCGUUUACUUCGAAUUACUUGUUCUCGGCGUUGUUGGUUAUCGAUGAAGAAAGAAAAGACUGGAAUAUUAUUAUGUAUACUUAAAAUGAAAUAUUGAUUAAAUUUUGGUGAAAUUGACAGAUUGCCCAACAUUAACUCGUUCGUGGAUACAUUGUGGAUAACUUAUUGCGAGAAGAUAAAAGGAAGACAAGAAGAAGGAGAAGAAUAUCGUGUACCUGCGAAGAGUACCGAAAAAACGGGAGCGAUCGGAAGACAAGGUUGGAAAAAGAAAGCAAAAGCGAACUGUAGCUGAAAGAAGAGAAAACGUGUUUCGUAGCCCGGAGCUACAGUCUGUUCUGGUGAAAGCCCAUGCGCGUUGAUUUUUCUCGAAAUGUUCAUGCCGACGUUAUGCCAGAAUCAGUUCUCUGUCAGGCAACAGCUGAUCUCUCGGGAAACUUAUCGUCGAACCUGUUAAACAAUUGUCACAUUGAUUUACGCUGUUUUAUGAAACACUGUAAUAUACAUAUUACAUAGUCAAGAAUAACGAAAGCAUAGAAAAGCUAAUAUAAGGAGAACUAAUAACGACAUAAUGCAAUACCGCAGGGAUUGACUGUGCAAUGAAAAGAAAAACAAUCUGGCAAUUUCAGAAGCAUAGGGACCAACAAAAUACAGGAUCACCUUGAUCAUGAUUCCAUUGAUGCGAGCAACAAUUAUAAAAUAUAUUGGGUUGGGGAA
Long non-coding RNA from Megalopta genalis, 921 nucleotides. RefSeq lists it as uncharacterized. The record is from RefSeq and is a predicted model, not a curated record. Lineage: Eukaryota; Metazoa; Arthropoda; Insecta; Hymenoptera; Halictidae.